RNAcentral lists this ribosomal RNA (445 nucleotides) under uncultured bacterium. RNAcentral describes it as "bacterial SSU rRNA". It matches the Rfam family "Bacterial small subunit ribosomal RNA", at positions 29 to 521 of the family's 1533-position model. The record is from RNAcentral.
AACGAACGCUGGCGGCAGGCUUAACACAUGCAAGUCGAGCGCCCAGCAAUGGGAGCGGCGCACGGGUGAGUAACACGUGGGAACGUGCCCUUUGGUUCGGAAUAACGUAGGGAAACUUGCGCUAAUACCGGAUAAGCCCUUACGGGGAAGAUUUAUCGCCAUUGGAGCGGCCCGCGUUGGAUUAGCUAGUUGGUGGGGUAAAGACCUACCAAGGCAACGAUCCAUAGCUGGUCUGAGAGGACGACCAGCCACACUGGGACUGAGACACGGCCCAGACUCCUACGGGAGGCAGCAGUGGGGAAUCUUGGACAAUGGGGGAAACCCGUGAUCCAGCCAUGCCGCGUGAGUGAUGAAGGCCUUAGGGUUGUAAAACUCUUUCGGCGGGGACGAUAAUGACGGUACCCGCAGAAGAAGCUCCGGCUAACUUCGUGCCAGCCGCCGCAGU